AUGAGGACGAGGAUGCCGAAUUCAGGCGGCAUUGCUGGUCCGGGCCUCCGAGGGAUCAGACCGUCCUCCGGCGACCUCUGCUUCCUCUUCCUCAACACCUUGGCCGCCUGGUCCAGGGGAGACCGCAGCUCCGCGCUCGUAGGCCUGCCCAAUCCUCCUCCUGCUCCUCGCGCUGCUCUUCCCUUCCCCCGCCCCCGCCCCCGCCAGUGCCGCCUCGCUGUCCCCGCUCGCGGCCAUCUCCAACGCCUCCUCCCACGCCUACGCCCACCCUGGAUGCCACCUUCUUUGACGCGACGUCGUCGACACCGUCGCCAACAAGGCGCGCUCGUCGGCGCCGUUCAGCGGUACGAGUUCCGCGCCGGUGCGGGGGGCGCCGCGGUCGCGCUGGCACGGGCCUCUGACGGGGCCGUCAACUGGAGCCGCCCCGACGCCCCCAUGGUGGAGAAGGUGGUCUGGCCCGACGGGGUCGACUUCGUCGCCGGCGACGGCGCCCUGGCGUUCGGCACCGGCGUCAGGGACAUGGACAUAGUAGGGCCGUUCGAGCUGGUGGUCUCCGAUUGUCAGCCUUUACCCAAUUGCAAGAUCUUCAUCAGAAUAAAAAAGGGGAGACUGAGACCGCUGUUUUCGAAUUUGGAAACAGUUGAAUUCCUGGCAAACCAUUUCACCACACGUGUUCAGUUUGUCAUUUUGAGUUCAUGCCCCCCUUCUUACACAGCGGCGAGGCCAACCAGGGCGUACGUAGUGCGUCCAUUUAGGCGUGGCGGCCUGCGGAUUUGGGUGCACGGCAGCCGGCCAACAUGCUGUGUGGGCGUGAUGUUGUCGGCAUGUUGUACAUGA
RNAcentral lists this ribosomal RNA (837 nucleotides) under Triticum aestivum (bread wheat). RNAcentral's name for it is "partial small subunit ribosomal RNA". Lineage: Eukaryota; Viridiplantae; Streptophyta; Magnoliopsida; Poales; Poaceae. The record is from RNAcentral.